Mycena rosella is the source of this 92-nucleotide non-coding RNA. The record is from the annotation of a GenBank genome assembly. Lineage: Eukaryota; Fungi; Basidiomycota; Agaricomycetes; Agaricales; Mycenaceae.
GGCUCGGUGGUGGAUGGUCCACGCCUGCUCCAUAUAUUGUGGCUGGAACAUCUGUACAGCAGGAGGAGCCUGUUCGAAUCAGGCCCGAGCCA